This 386-nucleotide ribosomal RNA is filed under the name uncultured bacterium. RNAcentral's name for it is "bacterial SSU rRNA". It matches the Rfam family "Bacterial small subunit ribosomal RNA", at positions 28 to 416 of the family's 1533-position model. The record is from RNAcentral.
GACGAACGCUGGCGGCGUGCUUAACACAUGCAAGUCGAACGGUAAGGCCCUUCGGGUACGACGAGUGGCGAACGGGUGGAGUAACACGUGGGUGAUCUGCCUGCACUUCGGGAUAAGCCUGGGAAACUGGGUCUAAUACCGGAUAGGACCAUGGACUUCACGGUUUGUGGUGGAAAGCUUUUGCGGUGUGGGAUGGGCCCGCGGCCUAUCAGCUUGUUGGUGGGGUAAUGGCCCUACCAAGGCGACGACGGGUAGCCGGCCUGAGAGGGUGUCCGGCCACACUGGGACUGAGAUACGGCCCAGACUCCUACGGGAGGCAGCAGUGGGGAAUAUUGCACAAUGGGCGCAAGCCUGAUGCAGCGACGCCGCGUUGAGGGAUGACGGCC